RNAcentral lists this long non-coding RNA (390 nucleotides) under Androctonus crassicauda. The record is from RNAcentral. Lineage: Eukaryota; Metazoa; Arthropoda; Arachnida; Scorpiones; Buthidae.
GCAAUACUUAUGAGCCGAUCAAAAAGUCGCCAAGAAUUCCGCAGUCCUGGUGUUGAGAGCACGAGGAAGUCGCACUUGAGGAUUUUCCUCAGUUCACACAUGGCUGUUGUGGCUAAUCAAGCAUUGCUCUCGUAUAAAACAUGCAUCGUCUGUGAACAAAACUGUUUCUCAGAAAAAUCAGUGCCUUCGGCAGUCUUUCGACGUAGUGGAGAUGAUGCACAAUUCGGCCGACACGGAUUGAGUCAAGACAAACUAAGGCCCGAAGCUCAAAAUCUAUGCCCCGGAGAAGGUACAUUGUAAGGACAAAAAGUGUUUUCUUAUCUCUCUAUCAUCCCUGAAGAUUGACGGUAGAGUUUUUGAUCAUCCUGUAUUAUAAUUUCUUAUAUAUAA